CAGACACCCCAAUGCUUGCAGUGGUCCAGGACCACCAGGAAUUGUGACUGGAUAGAAGGUAAGAGAUGGCACAAGACUUCUAAGCUACCUCGGAACCAUCUUGCAACCCCCCAGCUGUGAGAAUCUAUGAGCACUUCUUAUAGGCUUUAGCACAUGCCAGAUCUUGUGCAAAGCAUGGUGAGAGACCUUAAGAUGGAUAUGCAUCAGGAGCCCAUGGUCUAGGAGAGGAAAGAAGACCUACCCAAGAAUGACAAGGCUGACUUGAAGAGGCCUCUAGUGGUCUUAUAAGAAGAGAUUAGGUCACAGAUACCAUGCACAGAAGGAAGACCAUGUGAAGACACAGAGAAAAGAUGGACAUCU
Long non-coding RNA from Eptesicus fuscus (big brown bat), 360 nucleotides. RefSeq lists it as uncharacterized. The record is from RefSeq and is a predicted model, not a curated record. The transcript has 4 exons. NCBI's taxonomy places the organism in Eukaryota, Metazoa, Chordata, Mammalia, Chiroptera, Vespertilionidae.